Molecule: transfer RNA, 88 nt
Filed under: Planctomycetaceae bacterium
Lineage: Bacteria; Pseudomonadati; Planctomycetota; Planctomycetia; Planctomycetales; Planctomycetaceae
Description: tRNA-Ser
Rfam family: tRNA
About the family: Transfer RNA (tRNA) molecules are approximately 80 nucleotides in length. Their secondary structure includes four short double-helical elements and three loops (D, anti-codon, and T loops). Further hydrogen bonds mediate the characteristic L-shaped molecular structure. tRNAs have two regions of fundamental functional importance: the anti-codon, which is responsible for specific mRNA codon recognition, and the 3' end, to which the tRNAs corresponding amino acid is attached (by aminoacyl-tRNA synthetases). tRNAs cope with the degeneracy of the genetic code in two manners: having more than one tRNA (with a specific anti-codon) for a particular amino acid; and 'wobble' base-pairing, i.e. permitting non-standard base-pairing at the 3rd anti-codon position.
Source: RNAcentral
GGAGAGGUGCCGGAGCGGUUGAACGGGCCGGUCUCGAAAACCGGUGAGGACCUCGUGUUCUCCGUGGGUUCGAAUCCCACCCUCUCCG